Molecule: non-coding RNA, 213 nt
Organism: Cicer arietinum (chickpea)
Lineage: Eukaryota; Viridiplantae; Streptophyta; Magnoliopsida; Fabales; Fabaceae
Source: RefSeq, a predicted model, not a curated record
CCUACAAUGCCAUCACAAGGGGAUGAUGGCGCUUCUGAACUUCAACAACUUCCCAUCAUUCAUAUCGAGGAAAAUGAAGACGAAGUGAUUGAAUCUUCACUUACAUCUAUUGAUCAGACUAUGACCAAUGCGGCAACUCGCAGAAAUAGUGGAGUUGAGUUGAAGUUAGUUUUUAUUUGUCGCGAGAUACCAUGUCUUCAUCUCUAGGGUUCC